Molecule: unclassified non-coding RNA, 154 nt
Filed under: soil metagenome
Description: partial internal transcribed spacer 1
Source: RNAcentral
CAGAGUUAUCCAACUCCCAAACCCAUGUGAACUUAUCUCUUUGUUGCCUCGGCGCAAACUACCCGGGACCUCGCGCCCCGGGCGGCCCGCCGGCGGACAAACCAAAACUCUUGUUAUCUUAGUUGAUUAUCUGAGUGUCUUAUUUAAUAAGUCA